RNAcentral lists this small RNA (128 nucleotides) under uncultured Anaerobiospirillum sp. RNAcentral describes it as "HNH endonuclease-associated RNA and ORF (HEARO) RNA". It matches the Rfam family "HNH endonuclease-associated RNA and ORF (HEARO) RNA", at positions 1 to 109 of the family's 211-position model. The record is from RNAcentral. Lineage: Bacteria; Pseudomonadati; Pseudomonadota; Gammaproteobacteria; Aeromonadales; Succinivibrionaceae.
GUCAAUAACCCCCGCCUAAAGAGGCGGGGGCUUGAAAGUCUCUGAUUUUCAAGCCCAAGUUGACUAGCCUAAGUCCGUCAUGGGACGGACUACGUUGGUUGAGAAUAUAUAGGCACCGCCGGAUGUUA